Molecule: ribosomal RNA, 1167 nt
Filed under: Enterococcus faecium
Lineage: Bacteria; Bacillati; Bacillota; Bacilli; Lactobacillales; Enterococcaceae
Description: bacterial SSU rRNA
Rfam family: Bacterial small subunit ribosomal RNA
Source: RNAcentral
UCGAACGCUUCUUUUUCCACCGGAGCUUGCUCCACCGGAAAAAGAGGAGUGGCGAACGGGUGAGUAACACGUGGGUAACCUGCCCAUCAGAAGGGGAUAACACUUGGAAACAGGUGCUAAUACCGUAUAACAAUCAAAACCGCAUGGUUUUGAUUUGAAAGGCGCUUUCGGGUGUCGCUGAUGGAUGGACCCGCGGUGCAUUAGCUAGUUGGUGAGGUAACGGCUCACCAAGGCCACGAUGCAUAGCCGACCUGAGAGGGUGAUCGGCCACAUUGGGACUGAGACACGGCCCAAACUCCUACGGGAGGCAGCAGUAGGGAAUCUUCGGCAAUGGACGAAAGUCUGACCGAGCAACGCCGCGUGAGUGAAGAAGGUUUUCGGAUCGUAAAACUCUGUUGUUAGAGAAGAACAAGGAUGAGAGUAACUGUUCAUCCCUUGACGGUAUCUAACCAGAAAGCCACGGCUAACUACGUGCCAGCAGCCGCGGUAAUACGUAGGUGGCAAGCGUUGUCCGGAUUUAUUGGGCGUAAAGCGAGCGCAGGCGGUUUCUUAAGUCUGAUGUGAAAGCCCCCGGCUCAACCGGGGAGGGUCAUUGGAAACUGGGAGACUUGAGUGCAGAAGAGGAGAGUGGAAUUCCAUGUGUAGCGGUGAAAUGCGUAGAUAUAUGGAGGAACACCAGUGGCGAAGGCGGCUCUCUGGUCUGUAACUGACGCUGAGGCUCGAAAGCGUGGGGAGCAAACAGGAUUAGAUACCCUGGUAGUCCACGCCGUAAACGAUGAGUGCUAAGUGUUGGAGGGUUUCCGCCCUUCAGUGCUGCAGCUAACGCAUUAAGCACUCCGCCUGGGGAGUACGACCGCAAGGUUGAAACUCAAAGGAAUUGACGGGGGCCCGCACAAGCGGUGGAGCAUGUGGUUUAAUUCGAAGCAACGCGAAGAACCUUACCAGGUCUUGACAUCCUUUGACCACUCUAGAGAUAGAGCUUCCCCUUCGGGGGCAAAGUGACAGGUGGUGCAUGGUUGUCGUCAGCUCGUGUCGUGAGAUGUUGGGUUAAGUCCCGCAACGAGCGCAACCCUUAUUGUUAGUUGCCAUCAUUCAGUUGGGCACUCUAGCAAGACUGCCGGUGACAAACCGGAGGAAGGUGGGGAUGACGUCAAAUCAUCAUGCCCC